Pungitius pungitius (ninespine stickleback) is the source of this 621-nucleotide long non-coding RNA. RefSeq lists it as uncharacterized. NCBI's taxonomy places the organism in Eukaryota, Metazoa, Chordata, Actinopteri, Perciformes, Gasterosteidae. The transcript has 3 exons. The record is from RefSeq and is a predicted model, not a curated record.
UGGCAAAAGGCCGCGAGCGGGUGCAGAAAAGAACGUUGGAAAAGGGGGAUACGUGGAACCCGAAGGUCGAAUUCCUGGCAAAUGGAUGGCAGCAGCUUGUAAAUCUCCUCCACCUCUGCAGUCCAGCCCGCUGAGUGUUGUAGUUCCUGACCAGCAAACAACUCCCCAACCUGUCUCCUUGACCUUCACUCUCCCAUCCCCAGAGGAACUCAUGGCUGAAAUCUGGGCGGGUAAACGCCAAGGUGUGCUGGAGCAAAGUGGGGCCUUAUAAGAUAUUUGCCACGGACCUGCAGAACCUGGCCCCCGGAAGGGAAAUCGAGAGCGAGGUUUUGAAUGCAUACAUUCACAACAUCCAGCGGCAAGAAACAAAAUUGAAAGUGCAUUAUCUAGACUCCUUCCAAAUGACGUCCAUGUGGCAAGGAUGUUACAAGGGAUUAAAAAAGGUCAUCUUUUUAAUCUGUUUAGACAUCCUUAAAGAUACAAGCGGCAUUUUAUUCAUAAUGUGUGUCUGUUUUCAGCUGGACCCGUUGGCCUUUGAUAUAGUCAUAGGACCGGUUUGCCACAAACGCCACUGGACACUUGUGGUGAGAAUAGUUGCAAUACCAUCAAGAACAAUAAAGA